RNAcentral lists this ribosomal RNA (298 nucleotides) under uncultured eukaryote. Its description in RNAcentral is "partial 18S ribosomal RNA". It matches the Rfam family "Eukaryotic small subunit ribosomal RNA", at positions 1470 to 1796 of the family's 1831-position model. The record is from RNAcentral.
CCCUUAGACACUCUAGGCGGCACGCGCGCUACAAUGGGUGGAAGACCGUGUUACUGCCUUCGAAAGAAGGGGUGAAUCACGAAUUCUUACCCGUGAAUGGGAUAGUUUGUUGCAAUUUUCGGACUUGAACUAGGAAUCCCUUGUAAGCAUGCUCAAGAAUAGCGUGUUGAAUACGUCCCUGCCGUUUGUACACACCGCCCGUCGUUUCUUCCGACUGAUACUCAUUGUGAGUUGCAAGGACGCUUCAUUGUAAAAUUGCUGCGAAUGCUUUGUAUUGGAGGAAGAAAAAGUCGUAACA